RNAcentral lists this ribosomal RNA (465 nucleotides) under uncultured Arsenophonus sp. RNAcentral's name for it is "bacterial SSU rRNA". It matches the Rfam family "Bacterial small subunit ribosomal RNA", at positions 338 to 795 of the family's 1533-position model. The record is from RNAcentral. Lineage: Bacteria; Pseudomonadati; Pseudomonadota; Gammaproteobacteria; Enterobacterales; Morganellaceae.
CCUACGGGGGGCUGCAGUGGGGAAUAUUGCACAAUGGGCGCAAGCCUGAUGCAGCCAUGCCGCGUGUAUGAAGAAGGCCUUCGGGUUGUAAAGUACUUUCAGUCGUGAGGAAGGUGUUAAGGUUAAUAACCUUAGCAAUUGACGUUAGCGACAGAAGAAGCACCGGCUAACUCCGUGCCAGCAGCCGCGGUAAUACGGAGGGUGCGAGCGUUAAUCGGAAUUACUGGGCGUAAAGGGCACGCAGGCGGUUAAAUAAGUUUGCUGUGCAAUCCCCGGGCUUAACCCGGGGAAUGCAAUCAAGACUGAUUCACUGAGGUCCUGUAGAGGGGGGUAGAAUUCCAUGUGUAGCGGUGAAAUGCGUAGAGAUGUGGAGGAAUACCGGUGGCGAAGGCGGCCCCCUGGACAAAGACUGACGCUCAUGUGCGAAAGCGUGGGGAGCAAACAGGAUUAGAUACCCGUGUAGUC